This 29-nucleotide non-coding RNA is filed under the name Mus musculus (house mouse). Lineage: Eukaryota; Metazoa; Chordata; Mammalia; Rodentia; Muridae. The record is from RNAcentral.
UCUUAAAACGUUUCUGUGCUGAGAACAGA